Conger conger (European conger) is the source of this 194-nucleotide small nuclear RNA. RefSeq annotates it as U2 spliceosomal RNA. The record is from RefSeq and is a predicted model, not a curated record. Lineage: Eukaryota; Metazoa; Chordata; Actinopteri; Anguilliformes; Congridae. The transcript has a single exon.
GUCGCUUCUCGGCCUUUUGGCUAAGAUCAAGUGUAGUAUCUGUUCUCAUUAGUGUGCAUUAGUGUUCUCCAGUGUGUUUGUAGCAUUUUCUCCAGGAUUAGUUAAGUAUCAUUUGUUUCUGCUGUUUCUAAUUCAGUUGAGUCGUCACUGUAGUAACCCUGGUCCUGGAGAGCUACAGGGUCUGUGGUUUUCCU